Molecule: ribosomal RNA, 687 nt
Filed under: uncultured cyanobacterium
Lineage: Bacteria; Bacillati; Cyanobacteriota
Description: bacterial SSU rRNA
Rfam family: Bacterial small subunit ribosomal RNA
Source: RNAcentral
GAAAUAGUUUAGUGGCGGACGGGUGAGUAACACGUGAGGAUCUGGCUUUAGGUUCGGGACAACCACUGGAAACGGUGGCUAAUACCGGAUGUGCCGAAAGGUAAAAGGUUAACCGCCUGAAGAUGAGCUCGCGUCUGAUUAGCUAGUUGGUGUGGUAAAAGCGCACCAAGGCGACGAUCAGUAGCUGGUCUGAGAGGAUGAUCAGCCACACUGGGACUGAGACACGGCCCAGACUCCUACGGGAGGCAGCAGUGGGGAAUUUUCCGCAAUGGGCGAAAGCCUGACGGAGCAAGACCGCGUGAGGGAGGAAGGCUCUUGGGUCGUAAACCUCUUUUCUCUGGGAAUAAGAAAGUGAAGGUACCAGAGGAAUCAGCAUCGGCUAACUCCGUGCCAGCAGCCGCGGUAAUACGGAGGAUGCAAGCGUUAUCCGGAAUGAUUGGGCGUAAAGAGUCCGUAGGUGGUUAUUCAAGUCGAUUGUUAAAGAGCAAAGCUUAACUUUGUAGAAGCAGUGGAAACUGAAUAACUAGAGAGAGGUAGGGGUAGAGGGAAUUCCCGGUGUAGCGGUGAAAUGCGUAGAGAUCGGGAAGAACACCAGUGGCGAAGGCGCUCUACUGGGCCUCAUCUGACACUGAGGGACGAAAGCUAGGGGAGCGAAAGGGAUUAGAUACCCCUGUAGUCCUAGCCGUA